RNAcentral lists this ribosomal RNA (506 nucleotides) under uncultured bacterium. Its description in RNAcentral is "partial 16S ribosomal RNA". It matches the Rfam family "Bacterial small subunit ribosomal RNA", at positions 29 to 523 of the family's 1533-position model. The record is from RNAcentral.
AGUGAACGCUGGCGGUAGGCCUAACACAUGCAAGUCGAACGGCAGCACAGGAGAGCUUGCUCUCUGGGUGGCGAGUGGCGGACGGGUGAGGAAUACAUCGGAAUCUACUCUGUCGUGGGGGAUAACGUAGGGAAACUUACGCUAAUACCGCAUACGACCUACGGGUGAAAGCAGGGGACCUUCGGGCCUUGCGCGAUUGAAUGAGCCGAUGUCGGAUUAGCUAGUUGGCGGGGUAAAGGCCCACCAAGGCGACGAUCCGUAGCUGGUCUGAGAGAAUAGACAGCCACACUGGAACUGAGGCACGGUCCAGACUCCUACGGGAGGCAGCAGGUGGGAAUAUUGGACAAUGGGCGCAAGCCUGAUCCAGCCAUACCGCGUGGGUGAAGAAGGCCUUCGGGUUGUAAAGCCCUUUUGUUGGGAAAGAAAGCCAGCUGGCUAAUACCCGGUUGGGAUGACGGUACCCAAAGAAUAAGCACCGGCUAACUUCGUGCCAGCCGCCGCAGUAA